CCUCCGGCAGCUUACACAUGACAACGUCGAACGGAAAGGCCCCGUCUCUGCGGGGUACUCGAGUGGCGAACGGGUGAGUAACACGUGGGUGAUCUGCCUUGUACUUCGGGAUAAGCUUGGGAAACUGGGUCUAAUACCGGAUAGGACCACGGUUUGGUGAUGGUGGUGGAAAGCUUUUGCGGUAUGAGAUGAGCUCGCGGCCUAUCAGCUUGUUGGUGGGGUAAUGGCCUACCAAGGCGUCGACGGGUAGCCGGCCUGAGAGGGUGUACGGCCACAUUGGGACUGAGAUACGGCCCAGACUCCUACGGGAGGCAGCAGUGGGGAAUAUUGCACAAUGGGCGGAAGCCUGAUGCAGCGACGCCGCGUGGGGGAUGACGGCCUUCGGGUUGUAAACUCCUUUCGAUAGGGACGAAGCGUAAGUGACGGUACCUGUAGAAGAAGCACCGGCUAACUACGUGCCAGCAGCCGCGGUAAUACGUAGGGUGCGAGCGUUGUCCGGAAUUACUGGGCGUAAAGAGCUCGUAGGUGGUUUGUCGCGUCGUCUGUGGAAGUCCGGGGCUUAACUCCGGGGGUGCAGGCGAUACGGGCAUAACUUGAGUGCUGUAGGGGAGACUGGAAUUCCUGGUGUAGCGGUGGAAUGCGCAGAUAUCAGGAGGAACACCGAUGGCGAAGGCAGGUCUCUGGGCAGUUACUGACGCUGAGGAGCGAAAGCAUGGGUAGCGAACAGGAUUAGAUACCCUGGUAGUCCAUGCUGUAAACGGUGGGCGCUAGGUGUAGGGGACUUCCACGUUUCCUGUGCCGUAGCUAACGCAUUAAGCGCCCGCCUGGGGAGUACGGCCGCAAGGCUAAACUCAAAGGAAUUGACGGGGCCCGCACAAGCGGCGGAGCAUGUGGAUAAUUCGAUGCAACGCGAAGAACCUUACCUGGGCUGACAUACACCAGAUCGCCGUAAAGAUACGCUUCCCUUGUGUGUGUACAGGUGGUGCAUGUGUCGUCAGCUCUGUCUGAAUGUGGUAGUCGCACGAGCGCAUCUUGUCUUAUGUGGCAGCACUGAUGUGGGACUCAUGAAGACUGCGGUACUCGAGAGUGAUGACUCAAUAUCAUGCCUAUGUGACAGGCUUCACAUGCUCCAAUGGUGCGUACACGCGGUGUCUCAUCUCCUAAGA
RNAcentral lists this ribosomal RNA (1166 nucleotides) under Corynebacterium sp. DJ12. RNAcentral describes it as "bacterial SSU rRNA". It matches the Rfam family "Bacterial small subunit ribosomal RNA", at positions 36 to 1263 of the family's 1533-position model. The record is from RNAcentral. Lineage: Bacteria; Bacillati; Actinomycetota; Actinomycetes; Mycobacteriales; Corynebacteriaceae.